RNAcentral lists this ribosomal RNA (252 nucleotides) under uncultured bacterium. RNAcentral describes it as "partial 16S ribosomal RNA". It matches the Rfam family "Bacterial small subunit ribosomal RNA", at positions 57 to 305 of the family's 1533-position model. The record is from RNAcentral.
GCAAGUCGAACGGCAGCGCGGGGAGCUUGCUCCCUGGCGGCGAGUGGCGGACGGGUGAGUAACGCGUGGGAAUCUACCCAGUAGUUGGGGAUAGCCCGGAGAAAUCCGGAUUAAUACCGAAUAAUGUCUACGGACGAAAAGGUGCCUCUUCUUGAAAGCACUUGCUAUUGGAUGAGCCCGCGUUAGAUUAGUUUGUUGGUGGGGUAACGGCCUACCAAGACUGCGAUCUAUAGCUGGUUUGAGAGGAUGAUC